RNAcentral lists this transfer RNA (66 nucleotides) under Camelus bactrianus (Bactrian camel). It matches the Rfam family "tRNA". From Rfam's summary of the family: Transfer RNA (tRNA) molecules are approximately 80 nucleotides in length. Their secondary structure includes four short double-helical elements and three loops (D, anti-codon, and T loops). RNAcentral also lists the same sequence under 2 other names. Lineage: Eukaryota; Metazoa; Chordata; Mammalia; Artiodactyla; Camelidae. The record is from Rfam by way of RNAcentral.
GGUAUAGCUCGGUGGUAACAGCGCCUGCUUAGCAUGCAGGGGCUCCUGGGUUCAAUCCCCAGUACC